RNAcentral lists this ribosomal RNA (117 nucleotides) under Sinocyclocheilus rhinocerous. The record is from RNAcentral. Lineage: Eukaryota; Metazoa; Chordata; Actinopteri; Cypriniformes; Cyprinidae.
CAUAGCAGCCAUAUCACCCUGCAGCCCAAGACUGGUUGCCCACUGAAGCUAAGCAGAGUUGAGCCUGGUCAGUACCUGGAUGGGAGACCUCCCAGGAAAACUAGGUUGCUGUUGGAA